Molecule: non-coding RNA, 8608 nt
Organism: Megalopta genalis
Lineage: Eukaryota; Metazoa; Arthropoda; Insecta; Hymenoptera; Halictidae
Source: RefSeq, a predicted model, not a curated record
UCUUCCAUCACUGCAGCCCCUUUGCCUACACCUGUAACACAUAAUGUUGCAUAAAUUAAUGACAACAAAGCAAAUGAUGUUAAAUUUAAAAAAUACAGCUGCAGCAGUAACAACAACACAACAAUAGGGCAUAAGUCACAUACACAAAGUAUUGAAAUUCUUUAAGCAUGUUUGCCUUUUCUGGUACAUUGCAAACGUCGUAUUUCCUAAAGCAUUGUAAUGUCAACAAUUACGCGAUUGGGUCGGCCGUAAUCCCAUUGUUUACGAUCGGUGACAAGUCUCCGCAGGUAUAAGACUGAGUCGCAUCUCCUGGUCUAUGCGUAAAAUGGGUCACGUGGGUAAACAAACACAGCCAAAUUUUAAGACGCAUCGUCGCAUUAUCGAGAGGAGGAGGUCACUCUACCUAACAACUGAUUCAUUAUAUGUGUAACGCGCACAGAGCGAACACGGAUUCACGAUAACCGUCAACUACACCAUUUCUACGGUGCUGGAAGAGUGGGAAUCGGUGAAUUAGUCCCGAUAAAACCACCGACGACGCACUGAUAAGGAUGUAAGUAUUUUCCUCAUCCGCUGUCCACCCGUCGAACGUUCAGGAUAAAGUAGAAUUGUCAGCCAAUGACGUCAGGCUAAGGUUAUGGCGGACGUAUUGGAGCGAGCGCGUUCGUGCUCCGUAUCGGGGAUGAUCAAGGCUGCGCGUCAUUGUGGUGUUCUUAAGAGGGCGUGUUUUAAGGUUAGCUGUCACGUAAUAAAUAAUUAAUCGAUCGACUGGAGCAUGGUACUUUUAGAUUAGGCAAUCGGCAACGUCUUCGAAUGCGCAUGCACAGAAAUCGGUCUCGAAACUCUUUUCUUUGAGCGACAACUUACAUCUUAAGGAAACUUAAAAUAAGUCAUGCGUUGUUUUGAAGCAUGCAUAAUGCGAUAACCACGAUAAGAGCUUUUAACCGCACAAUGAUCGGCCAACGAAUCGAUAUGUCAUGUCAAAAACAUUGCAGAUAUGUGCGAUCAAGGCAAAGUAUAAUCGAUUCAAAUUUUCCAUUGAUCGAUGAAAUCAGUCGAGAGAGAACAUUGUCGUCUUGUGAUUCGAUUGAAUGCCUCUGUUUAUCGCGAUAAAUCGUAAACGUACAGUAGGUUAGGUCUUAUCGAGAACAUGGUGUAAGAAUACUUUACUCGCCCACUGUCAGGUAAUUAUUUAACCAUCUUUGCAUUGUCGCGGUAACGGUGUUGUAACUCAUGUACUAUCAUUUAUAGUUAGUAGAUGAAAGAGUGAUAAAUUGCUACGAUGAUAGGUAGUAGGUUUUUGUAGAUGUUGUGACCCAGAAAAGAUGAGAAAAGAGCGUAGUUUCAACGUAAACCAACAACCGUACCUCGAAUAAUUCGUUUCCACCGCAUCGCCACGGUCGCUGGACUCUGGUUCUACGGAAAAUAUUUACACCAGAUAAAUGUUAACCGAAAACACUGAUGCCCACGACCAUAUGGCGACAACCCGCCCGUUACUCAUAGUAUAGUAUAUGUAGUAUGUUAGAAAUUCAUUUUAACUGCGCCUACGGAGCGCACGGUUUGCUUGGCGCGGCGCAUGAGCAUUACCGAUCAAGCGCAAAGGGUGGGCAAAAGGAAAUCGAAUACAAUGUUUGAAUUAAGGUUACAAUGCGAUUCAUUGAAAAGAUAUUUAGUCGCUAAAAUUCAAAGACAGUAUUCAAUCUACCUGUGAAUAUCAAAAAACGUAUCUAAACAAGCUACGAAAUUUUGUUUACGGCAUAUCUGAAUUUUUUAGUAAUGUAUUAGAAAUUUUGGUGGGACUGUCGUUUGCACAAGGAAUUUUAAAUUUUCGCGGAAUAAAACACUAAAAGAAAGAGGACUUUUGACAUCGUUUAUUCAACGUCUUGUUGCAAGCUUCGAUUAAUUUUAAUUCCGAAGAAAGUCAACGUGACUCGCAUUACAAAUGACAAUUCGACGCUGGAGGAAGCUGCCGCAUGUUCGAUGGUUCCAAACUGUUAAUCGAUCGAUUGAUUGGCAAUAAAACAGUAAUAUGAAAUAAAAUGCAGAAGCAGUUGAAAGCAAGAGAUUUUCAAUCGUUUAAAGACGAAAAUAAAAGAGUGAAUGAGUUGUCUCGUAGUUCGCAGUCAACAGGUUAGCGAAUUCGGUUUUUUCACCUUGGUAGAAAAAUGAUUCUUGUUGGUUAGUUCUCUGGCAGUGUCGAGGGCACGAGUUAAUUUUAGCGAGGCGUUGAACGAGCUACGAGGGAAGGCGGGGGAAUGAAAUUGAGGAGCCGAAAUUCGCAAGCCGACGAAAAUUUUACGCGUGCGAAAUAUAAUCCGGGAAUACUUUUGCCAGGGGAAACGGUUCGUUUCGUUGGCUCGUGUUUAUGUUUCGCGAUUUUCUGGUGAGGGAGCUUGUCCGAGCUUACAUUUUGAAAGCAAGACAUAUAUGCUUUUGUACGACGCACAUAUAGCCAUCCCGCUUUGCCAGAUAGCAAUCGUGCGAAUAUUUAAAAGCAGUGACACUGAGAGGAAGAGAUAGAGAGAGAGAGAGAGAGAGAGCGCAGAAGAAGCAGCAGCGUGGCAAAAGCCUCUGGAAAUGGUGUAGAAGACUCCCACAGAGUUUGCUACUGGAAAUAGUAUGAUGCGACGCCAUUUCUCACGCAAGGCUGUGGGAGAGAAGUUUUUUAACUUUGGGUUAACCGACUCUUUUCGUCCCUAAACGAGAAGGAAACGGCUGACACAUUCUUAGGAAACCUGAAGUGUUCCACCACUUGGAAUGAAACGAGAAAGAUACCUUUCUUUGUAAAUAGUCUCGAUGACCAAUUAUCUAGUAACUAAUUUUCCAUGAGAGCUUCGUAACAAAACUGUUCUCCGUUAAGACAUUUGAUCGAUGAUCUCGUGCUCGCGAUACGCCAAUGCUUGCUGGUAAAUUAACACCACUGGAUGAGGAUAAGUGUGAUGUAAUGCGAGCAUCGCGAACACGUAGAAGUGACACAGCCGGGCUUAAACGGUUACAGCUGAACUUGAACGUCGACGAUGUUGUCGUUUCUAUGUCAGUAGUGGUGGAUGCGUGGGAGUGAUUGCACACACAGCAACAAGUCAAGGACUCACGACUGAUGUUGUCCCGAGGACAUUGGAAAACAUAAGACGCAGAACCCUUGGAAGAAGAUCCAAUAAAAAUUAGAUUAACCUGGGAUCAUAUGCUUUUUCAUCUUAAAGCGUUAAUCGGACAGAUGCUACCGGAUAUCAGCCGACUUACGACCUUGUGUUCCAAGUUAGAGAUUAGUUUGCCAUGCUACGAUAAUGAUGUCAAUGCUCUUACGAUUGUACAGGAAACAGUUGCAUCUUUGACCGGUCUUCCUCCGAUAUUUAGUUUCCUGUCCCUUCCGUUUGCGAUAAAAGAUCGGCGGUCUCGGCGGCGAUUGCAAUGGCGGGCUCACCCGGCCUACAGAAAAUUCGGCUAUUUUCAUGAUGAUGCACAGCAGCAGCACUAUCAUCAUUUGUCAAUGUUUAAUAAUUUCGUUAUCCGGUCGUGUUACAACAUAGUAACGCUUUCACGAUUGGAUAACGAUCAAUAGUUAUUCUCACUGUUAUCGUGUCCGAUUAACAAUCACCGCACAGUUCGUAAAAUCAGCGAACAGAAAACAAAGAGUAACAGUACAAAAGACGAGAAGGCAGAGUUGCCUCUGUUUACCAAUCGUCCGGUCGCGAAGACAACGAAUCUCGCUGGUCCAUCGUUUGAGAUUGUUCACUUUUCAUUAUUCCAGCCACGGCGGUGUACAUUUACCACUCGAAAGAGUUACAUCACGGACUCGCAAGUGUUUCUCGCUGCACUCGACACGUCGUCUUUGCCCGGCACGCUCUCCAACAUGAAAGAUGCGUUGCACCUUUGACGAAUAGAAACACACCGGCGGAACCACUGUCGAUUUACUCCUCUGCGAGCCAGCCGAUGACACCUUUCAAAAGAUCCCUUUGUUUACCGGACAAGGCACGAAGGCAGCGGUGCAGCUCGCACACGGCUUACGCCUCCAAUAGCGAGGCCCACCGUUGCGACUGCACCCAUCUCGUUGCUUUUUACCGACCGGAGGACCGUCCUGUGUUUUCUAGGUCCACAGAACUAUGUUUUUAGCCCUUUAACCCAAGGACUUCGAUGCAGCGAGUUCGUCGAACCCACUCAGCCCGAAAUCCUUAACACUUUAUCUGUCGGCAAUGAUUUAUUAAUGGUCUUUGAAAAAUUUACACGCGGUUAAAAGGGGGAAGACUGCAGAAUAUCUUCCCUCUUGGAUACGAGUUUGCCGUUUCGCAACAAGAUAACAAGAACAUUUUGCGCAAUUGUAUCGAAGAUUUCGGACUUGGACGUUAUAAUCUGCAAACGCUCUGCAAAUCGGAGAUUGUUAAACCGACAUCAACGAGACGAGCUUUAUCGAGAAUGAUUCAGAUAUUACCCGGAAGUAGUGAUAGGAAGUGUCGGUUACAAUCUGUUAGGAAACAAUGUCGAAACAUGUUUUUCGGUGUCGAGCUAUACGACGAAUAGUAAUAAUAGUUGUUACGUCAGCAGACGCGUUCAACCGCCUAAAUUGCAACAAGUGGCGAGGCAAUUGUUUCGAGUUAAUCGAACGUUAAGAUAACGGGGGAUAUUCGACCGAGCGAUUAAUACGUUCGAGUACGGGCGGAGACGAUAAAAACUGUCGGAACGUUGAGUCACACGUUCUAUAAUUGCGUUAAUCGGGUCUGCGGAUGAUUUCGCGAAACUCUAUAUUUAUCGCGGAUGAGAACAGCAGACUGUAUAAAAUAUUCCGCGUAAGUUUCACUUUCCUAGAAAGAAAAGUCGUGUGCGAAAAGGAAGAAUGCAAUUGACCGAUGAUGGUGAAUCGUUAACGACGAGUAUAUCGGUAAGCUCGUGCGAUUUAUUUCGGCCGUGCCGGCGGUAAACAAUACUUCAGGGGCACUCAUUAGAGUAAGUACGCGGCCGCCGCUGCGAUAGAGGAUGUGCGAGGCGUAACGACUCGUUGAAUCGGAAUUAAUUUCCCCUGGCCGGUAAAUGAACGUCGACCUAUGAUCGAAUGUAUAUCGAGUGGCAUUCAAAAAACGGGACAAACAUCACUCCCCUCUUCCUCGAUGCAUACGUUGCCGCGCGUCGGGGACACGCGAUGCAAUUGGAUCGAUCGGUGGUGAAAGAGAGAGGGCGAACCUGUAUGCAGCGGUUCCUCACAAAGGAGAGACCUUACGUCUACAGAGAACACACAGAGUAACGCACGAAAACACAAAGAAAAAUCGCAGUCCAGCACUGGCUGCAUCGAACAUGAACGAAAACUGGUCACUGUCCAAUCGGUUGGUUCAGCGAACGAUUCCACCGACUUAUCGCGACGAUCCCAUCGAGAGCCAUUCGUACAGGAACACACACUUGACACACCACGAUCGCUAGAAUGCACUGUGGCAAAGUGGUUUCCGAUGAGUUAAUCCGCUCCGAUGAUUACGAGCACACCGCGUUCGACCGAUGAUAGCGGACACACGCGCAACUGAAUUUUUCCUUCGCGUUUAUUUUGGCGGAAUCGCUUUCUGGACCGCAGUCUGACUCAGACUGCCCUAACAGCACGCGUCCCGCGCGGGAGAGCGUUUGCACACGGCACGACACGACGCGGAGUUUAAUCUCUAUUAAUAAAUACCCGCUCCGCCUCGGCCGGAAUAGAGAGCAGCUCUAUUCCGCUCGCUCAUUCAACGCAUAUAACGCGCUCGUGUUUCGUAUCGAGGGCCCUUUCCACCCUCUGACCCUUUCUCGAAUCUCUCGGGUUGAUUUUGACCCGGGCUCUGCUAGCCUCUCCGCGGAUACUGCCGGAGCUGGGUGAAUAUUUGACGCGCUGCACAAUUUGUGCAUCGCGGCGAGGCCUGUCCCUCUCGUGCUAUCACGUUUGAAAUAUUUCGAGGCAUCGAGCAACGUUCGCUCCGAUAAUUAGCCGCUAAUCGUUAGGCACCCCAAGUUUACGAGUUGUUAAGCUUGGGCCGACACGUCUUCUAUCGUCGAGCGAUUUCGAUUUCAUGGCAUCGCGGGGAGAUCACCGUGAACCCUCGCGGAAAGGUUACGGGAUUCGCAAAGUUCUCGGGAAGGUUAUUUUAGCUAAUGAUUGCGUAAUUGCCGGGAAAUCGGUAAAACGGAACGGGAAAUCGAUGCGAGAUCGAUUCGGUUGAUGGACGCUGUUGUGGCGGACAGAUAGAAAGAAGAAGCGGGACGCGCCGAAAUAAUCCCGUUUGCCACAAUCGCAUUAUAAGGUUCCCUUUGCGCCUAGUGUACUCGAAAUGACUUCGGACAAAGGAUAUUCCGGGGAACCACAAUGCGGUUAGCCGAACAAUGCGGAUUAGCAAUGUGGAUCGUUGAAAAAUCAACGAUCCUCGACAACAUCGAACGAUUUUCGCGUUGCUAAACUUUGAUGCCUUGAAGCCGAUGUAACGUCGAUUCCGAGAAUCUCGGUGAUUCCUUUAAUGAAUCUCGGUGGGUUCGUUUAAUUGCAACGUGAGAUGCACAAGCGUAUGUCCGCAGUCUAUCGACUACUCGUGCGCAGGGUGAAAAACAAGCUUGAAUACCAUUAAAAUCGAAUGCAACGGAGGAGCAUGUUGAAGAGGUUGCGCAGCAUGAAAAUAAAAAUGUUCUAGCUACAAAGCGCUACGAAAAAUAGCUUGCUUCGACUGUUUGAAGAUUGAUCUGCAUUGUAAAUAGGUCGUGAGAAGUAUAAAUCACGGGAACGUAUGCGCAUCCGAACUCACCAACGUGGUCUCCGUUGCCGCAGACAAUAUCUGUCGCCAAGGCCUGAAAAAUAUUAUCGACUUAUUAAUUAGCCUACCCGUACAACGUUCCAGAAUAUUUUCUUGUCCGAACCGAAAUAUAUUGGGAACAUUGCGACGGUAUUUCACAAUGGAUUUCGAUAAUCACCGGACGAUAACUUUCUUUCUUUUCGGUUUUAGGUACUUAGAGAAGAAAUCCACAUUCUCGAGCUGUUUCGUGUUUCACGCGUUAUAAAACGCGACGCUAUUUUUAAACCUUCACAAGUGCAACGAAGGAGUGUACUCCCGAAAGACUCUCCGGUGCAUUUCCCUUUGCCGAGGACCAAGACGAGUAUCGUUAAAGGAAAAAUACUUCUCGUUCCUGUGCCGUGCGGGCGAGGGCACAAUCAUUUUGGAAUUCGAUACGGAAUGAACGCAAGGAACGACUGGAACCCGAGUCAUCGAGCUCUCCGACCCGUUAUUGCGAUUGCUCCGAUCAAUUUACGAAUUUCGCGUGGCUGAUCUUUCAUGGAAUCGUUCCCUUAACUCUUUCCUGAAGUUUCUUUAACUCGUAGCAAUUUAUUUUACUGAUUUAAUCUCGGUUGUAUACAACAGCAACUUUAGUCAUUUAUUUUCUAUUCCAGUCAGUUGCCAGCAAAUUAGAGACAACGUUUCUGGGACCAAAGAUAAGGACUACUCGGAACCGCAAAAGGUUAAGGAAUCGCAGUAACCGAGAUAAGGCUUGUCCGGAUACGUGGGGUUUGCAAUUCCGUAGCAUGUUUCUUUCUGCGUCCCACAUGGCUUUGUUUCGUUCUCUCCUUUCUGGACGGUGCAUAAAAAAAUCCGAGAGAGAGAGAGAGAGAGAAAGAGAGAAUAAAGGCAUCGGAAUCGUAAUUAACUCACUGAACAACAACCGGCAGGCGAUUCUCGGCUAACAAAACCCGAAGAGUGCUUGGGGGAACAAGGUCACCCGAUCCCAACGAGAGAUCACGUCUGGAAAAGACAGAGAGAUAGAGAGAGGAGAGCUAUAGGAAUCGUUUCUUGGUACACUUUAUCUUCCGCUUGCCGUGGUCCGAGGAAUCGAUCGGAGAUAGCAGACCAGCGAAGAUGAUUGACCAACGCAGCCAGUGAAGAUGAUUAUUCCUAAGGAGACCCAAGGACUACGCUGUUUUAUCGAGACCAACGAGACCGAAGGAACGAUCGUACAGCAGAGCUUUCUGGAUUAUAAGUAACCUUCGCAUCGAUUUUAUCCACGGCACGGAGGUCAAUGACGUAUUAGGUCCUACGAUUGCGACUAUGGGGGCAAUAUACUAACAGCAAUCCUCUUUUCAGGUUCCAGUCGGAGAGAGAGAGAGUUUGUCAUGUUGGGACGAGAGGAACGCCCACGCGAGCUAGAAAACGAGUCGAUAGUCGGAGGCAGCAAGUACUCACGUUCAUGGUGAAGGGACAGCUGACAGUCGAUCCACGCAACACACUCGACACUGCCACCAAUUAUGACAUCGCGGGAUGAAUAUCGCAGACGUGGAAUGCAUAUUCUGAGUCACUCCGUCGAAGAGAAAGCCAGCCCCUCCCUGACUGCAACACACAACCCCUGUAUGCUAGACGCGCAUGCUCUUCACUGAACGCGGCUCGCAGCACGACGAAAGGGGAUGAUAUUCCCCUUCGGCCCUUGUCUAAGCUGACUCGGUUUCCCUUAGGGCGCUGGACACCCGAAAUUUCUUGUUGAAAGUGGGAACCGCUAUGGAAAUAAUUCUAUACUGUUGCGAGGGCUUUAGAAACAAUGACCAAGAUUCAAUGGAGACACAAUAAUGGCGGCAUGGCUGGUCACGUGACAGAGCGCGCGCAAUACUGCUUUCGGCGCGCCAAAUAUUUGA